CAUACAUCUUGGGAUAUCAUCAAAUUUGUAUUUUGAGAAGCAAUGGCAAGUAACACCCAAAGCUUUCUGGUGACAUUAAUGAUCUUCAUGGUCAUUCUAUCUCCAGCUUUACCAUCCGAUGCAGCCCAGAUUACUCCUCGAGAACUCAGGCAGAAACCAUCUUGCCCUCCUUGUAUGUGUUGCCAAAACACACCACCACCACCAUGUUGCUACUGUGCCUGUUUUGUUACUACUGGACACGGUUCGCCAUAGAACCAGUUUUAUUGCCCCUUUACACUAGCCGGUCCAAGAUUGAUAUACUGUUUUUUCAUACUAUUUAUAGUGGAAUGAAAUGUAUAUGUGUUUUUUCUUUUCUUUUUUGGCAAUACAAAUUAAUUUGCAUACUGUAACCGUGUUUGUUUUUUUUCCUAAAUGAAACCGUGUUUGUUUUUUUUCCUAAAUGAAACCGUGUUUGUUCAAUAAUGCAGCAGAAUAUGAAGUGUUUUAGUUUUAUUAAUUAGGAAUGUGAAAUUUCACCCUAUAUUUUGUAUAAUUUACAACAAUUUAUCUAUAAACAAAAUUUCCAUCAA
Long non-coding RNA from Cornus florida, 569 nucleotides. RefSeq lists it as uncharacterized. The record is from RefSeq and is a predicted model, not a curated record. Lineage: Eukaryota; Viridiplantae; Streptophyta; Magnoliopsida; Cornales; Cornaceae. The transcript has 2 exons.